This 106-nucleotide ribosomal RNA is filed under the name Listeria monocytogenes. Lineage: Bacteria; Bacillati; Bacillota; Bacilli; Caryophanales; Listeriaceae. The record is from RNAcentral.
ACGGCGGGAUGGUCACCCCCGCUCCAUGCCCGAACACGGUAGUUAAGCUUCUCUGCGCCAAUGGUAGUUGGGGGCUUCCCCCUGCGAGAGUAGGUCGCUGCCGGGC